CUAUCAACAAAGAGAAACAAAUAGAAAUUAUGGAGCUGAAAAAUAAAAUAUCAGAACUUAAAAAUUCACUAGACUUGAUUCAAUAGCAGAUUCUGAUCACAUAGAAGAAUCAGGAGACUUGAAGACAUCAAGUGAGAGCAGGAAAAAAAUAAGAAAAGGGAAGAGAACUUGAGGGACUAAAGGGAUAUUACAAAGUAAACCAAUAUAUGCAAUUGGGAAUUCUGAAGAAGACAUAGAAAAAGGUUCAAAAAGCAUAUUUGAAGAAAUUAUGGCUAGAAAUAUCCUAUAUCUAAGAAAAGAAAUAGACAUACAAAUUCAAAAAGUUUAAAGAAUUCCAAAAAAGAUAAACACACUGGGACACAUUAUAAUCAAUGUGUACAAAGUUUGAAACUCAAUCUUGAAGGCAGCAAAGUAUCUCAUGCAUACAAGAGACUAUGAUAUUAUUGAUGGAUUUCUGAAACCAGAAGGAAUGGGAUAACAUACUCAAAGUUCUGAAAGUAAAAAGUCAAUCAAAAAUUCUAUAUCUAGAAAGGCUAUCAUUCAACAACAAAGGAAGAAUUAAGGGUUUUACAGAUAAAUGAAAGUUGAGGGAGCUUAUUAUUGUUAAACUUGCUUUAUAAGAAAUAUUAAAUUGAGUCCUUCAAGCUAAGAUGAAAGAGUGAUAGAGAAUAAAACUCAUAAGAAAAGAUGAAGCCUUCAACUAAGUGUAAGUAUGUGGAUGAAUAUACUACCCUACAUUAUUUUAAUGUUGUGCAUAGAAUAUAAAUGACCAAAAUUAACAAUAUAUAAAUCCAUGUCAAUGGUUAUAUGAUAUAUGAAGAUGUAGUUUGUGGCAUUAGUAACAAAGUAUAUGAUGGGAAGAGGCAAAAAUAAAUAGUUUUUGUAGACAAUUGAAGCUGUCAUUAGCUUAAAGUAGACAGUUACAACUAUCAGGUGCUUUAUGUAAGCCUCAUGGUAAUCAAAGAAAAUAUCAAAAGAAGUUAUUCAAAAGAAAAAGAAAUCAAAAUAGCCAUCUAUGAGAAAGAGGCCUUCACCAGACCCCAAGCCUGCCAGUGCCUUGAUUUAGAAUUUCUCCGUCUCCAGAACUGUUAGGAAAAAAAUUAAAAAUCUGUUGUUUAUAAAUUACCCAGUCUGAGGUAUUUUGUUGUAACAACACAAAUGGAGUUCUUCAAUUAAUGUUAAUUUUCUUAUGUGAUAUCCA
Molecule: long non-coding RNA, 1201 nt
Filed under: Marmota monax (woodchuck)
Lineage: Eukaryota; Metazoa; Chordata; Mammalia; Rodentia; Sciuridae
Source: RNAcentral